RNAcentral lists this ribosomal RNA (1393 nucleotides) under uncultured bacterium. RNAcentral's name for it is "16S ribosomal RNA". It matches the Rfam family "Bacterial small subunit ribosomal RNA". The record is from RNAcentral.
UCCUGGCUCAGGAUGAACGCUAGCGGCAGGCUUAACACAUGCAAGUCGAGGGGCAGCGGGGAGGAAGCUUGCUUUCUCCGCCGGCGACCGGCGCACGGGUGAGUAACACGUAUGCAACCUGCCCCUGUCAGGGGGACAACCCGCCGAAAGGCGGGCUAAACCCGCGUACAUGCCACCGGGGCAUCCCGGAGGCAGGAAAGGCUUCGGCCGGACAGGGAUGGGCAUGCGGCGCAUUAGGCAGUAGGCGGGGUAACGGCCCACCUAACCGACGAUGCGUAGGGGUUCUGAGAGGAAGGUCCCCCACACUGGUACUGAGACACGGACCAGACUCCUACGGGAGGCAGCAGUGAGGAAUAUUGGUCAAUGGUCGGGAGACUGAACCAGCCAAGCCGCGUGAGGGAGGAAGGUACAGAGUAUCGUAAACCUCUUCUGUCAGGGAACAAAGACUGGGACGCGUCCCCGGAUGAGUGUACCUGAAGAAAAAGCAUCGGCUAACUCCGUGCCAGCAGCCGCGGUAAUACGGAGGAUGCGAGCGUUAUCCGGAUUUAUUGGGUUUAAAGGGUGCGCAGGCGGUCUGUUAAGUCAGCGGUCAAAGCCCGGGGCUCAACCCCGGCCCGCCGUUGAAACUGGCAGUCUCGAGUUGGAGAGAAGUAUGCGGAAUGCGCGGUGUAGCGGUGAAAUGCAUAGAUAUCGCGCAGAACUCCGAUUGCGAAGGCAGCAUGCCGGCUCCACACUGACGCUGAGGCACGAAAGCGUGGGUAUCGAACAGGAUUAGAUACCCUGGUAGUCCACGCAGUAAACGAUGAAUGCUGGCUGUCCGGGGGGACUGACCCCUGGGUGGCGAAGCGAAAGCGAUAAGCAUUCCACCUGGGGAGUACGCCGGCAACGGUGAAACUCAAAGGAAUUGACGGGGGCCCGCACAAGCGGAGGAACAUGUGGUUUAAUUCGAUGAUACGCGAGGAACCUUACCCGGGCUCAAACGGGGAGUGGCGCAGGCAGAGACGCCUGUUUCCCACGGGACACUCCCCGAGGUGCUGCAUGGUUGUCGUCAGCUCGUGCCGUGAGGUGUCGGCUUAAGUGCCAUAACGAGCGCAACCCCCGCGUGCAGUUGCUAACAGUCAACGCUGAGGACUCUGCACGGACUGCCGGCGCAAGCCGCGAGGAAGGCGGGGAUGACGUCAAAUCAGCACGGCCCUUACGUCCGGGGCGACACACGUGUUACAAUGGGUGGUACAGCGGGAAGCCAGGCGGCGACGCCGAGCGGAACCCGAAAUCCACUCUCAGUUCGGAUCGGAGUCUGCAACCCGACUCCGUGAAGCUGGAUUCGCUAGUAAUCGCGCAUCAGCCAUGGCGCGGUGAAUACGUUCCCGGGCCUUGCACACACCGCCCGUCA